Molecule: ribosomal RNA, 424 nt
Filed under: Salmonella enterica subsp. enterica
Lineage: Bacteria; Pseudomonadati; Pseudomonadota; Gammaproteobacteria; Enterobacterales; Enterobacteriaceae
Also listed under: 2 other names
Description: bacterial SSU rRNA
Rfam family: Bacterial small subunit ribosomal RNA
Source: RNAcentral
CAGCGAUUAGGUCGGGAACUCAAAGGAGACUGCCAGUGAUAAACUGGAGGAAGGUGGGGAUGACGUCAAGUCAUCAUGGCCCUUACGACCAGGGCUACACACGUGCUACAAUGGCGCAUACAAAGAGAAGCGACCUCGCGAGAGCAAGCGGACCUCAUAAAGUGCGUCGUAGUCCGGAUUGGAGUCUGCAACUCGACUCCAUGAAGUCGGAAUCGCUAGUAAUCGUGGAUCAGAAUGCCACGGUGAAUACGUUCCCGGGCCUUGUACACACCGCCCGUCACACCAUGGGAGUGGGUUGCAAAAGAAGUAGGUAGCUUAACCUUCGGGAGGGCGCUUACCACUUUGUGAUUCAUGACUGGGGUGAAGUCGUAACAAGGUAACCGUAGGGGAACCUGCGGUUGGAUCACCUCCUUACCUUAAAGAA